AGACGUCUACAUUAGAUACCCGUGUAGUCCCAGCCGUAAACUAUGCGCGUUAGGUGUAUCGGUGACCACGAGUCACCGAGGUGCCGAAGGGAAACCGUGAAACGUGCCGCCUGGGAAGUACGGUCGCAAGGCUGAACUUAAGGAAUUGGCGGGGGAGCACCACAACGGGUGGAGCCUGCGGUUUAAUUGGACUCAACGCCGGACAACUCACCGGGACGACAGCAAUAUGUAGGCCAGGCUGAAGACCUUGUCUGAAUCGCUG
Molecule: ribosomal RNA, 262 nt
Filed under: uncultured archaeon
Lineage: Archaea
Description: partial 16S ribosomal RNA
Rfam family: Archaeal small subunit ribosomal RNA
Source: RNAcentral